Molecule: long non-coding RNA, 3906 nt
Organism: Orcinus orca (killer whale)
Lineage: Eukaryota; Metazoa; Chordata; Mammalia; Artiodactyla; Delphinidae
Exons: 2
Source: RefSeq, a predicted model, not a curated record
UUGAAACCUGCGGGAGGGGAGAGUGAGUUGGAGGUCGCUGUCCCUUCUGGGAAUCGGUCGAGCGCCGCAGGAGCGGGACGUUAGGUCAGCGGAGACCUCGGCCUGGGAUUAGGCCGGGAGUGGCCACAGCUUCGUUCAUUGGGCAGCUACCCGGGGCCGGCCACGCUCCGUGAGCCACUGUGACGAAGCCCCUUCUUGUCUCCCCAGAGCUCAGCCCGGGCCGCUGCACCUCCCUCCAAAUGUGGAUAAAGUUCCCACCCUUUGGCUCAGCCUUUUAAGGAGCCUUUGUGACAGCAGAGGUGGUUUGCUCUGACACUAACCAAACUUCACUUUCUGGACGCCCACUUACCCAGGCCCAGUCUAUGGCCAUGGAAGGAAUCUUAGCAACGUGUUUACAAGAUAAUGUUUUUAUAAAAUUAGCAAAACUAAGAUAUUUUAACCCACAUCUGUUAAGACAGCUGCCUCUUUCCACUGGGACUUUCCUAUCUGGGAGCACUGAAGUAGCUAGGGCAGCUUGGGGCAUUUUUAAGUAGGGUCUUCCCGUGAGUAGGGCUUGAGUGUGUCUACUUGGCCUGCCUUUGGGUUCUGGGUUGUGCAGAGUUCAGAGGAGUUAUCUUUACUGAGAGGCCCAGUAAAGAUAAAAGGGAAAAAGUUGUGUUUCUGAAGUGUCUCCAAAUCUCCAAUGGUGGCAGCCCUCAUCCACCCCUGCCAGCGAUGAAAGAAGGCCAGGAUCUGGUGAGAGAGAACCAUCAGAAGAACUGCAGCCAUGGGUCCUCCCUCUGUGUCAGGGUACUGUUUUAGGCACUGAGGACAUAGCAGAGAACGGAACAGGCUCAAGGAGAAGAGGAAAGUUCAGAAACAUAAAGGGAAAUAAAGAAAUAUUCAGAAGCAUCUGAAUUUUUGACCCUCUGAUCAACACCACCAGAAAAGGAAAAAGAGAAGUACUAUUACAUUUGCUACUGGUACUACAAAACUGUGCCCUUACCUAACUUCAUUUCAGCAAGCCUUUACUGUGAACUAUUAAUGUGCCAGGCACCAUGUGCAGAGGCACUGGCCCAAAGAUGAAGAAGAUGAGGUUUCUGUCCUUGGGAAGCGCAGUGUGGGAGACAGACGGGUAGGCGGAUAAUUAUAUUACAGAUGAUUCGUGCUAUGAUUGAGGUGUGAACAAAAUUCUGUAGGAGCAGAGAAGAGUGAAUAAUUCUGCCUGGGGGUGUCAGAUAACGUUUAAUGGAGGAGAAGACAUCUUACCUGGGUCUAAGGGAGGCUAGGAGAUGGCCAGGUGGAGAUGGAGAGAAAAGACAUCUAGGGAGGAGUCAUUUGUGGAUAGAAUGAUGAAGUUACAGUGCUAAGUUCUGAAAUAUGGACUGCACACGGACAGCCUGGAUCCCUCAGACAAUGGUGGGGUGGGGUAGUCCACAGGGUUAAUGAUUUAUUGAAAAGGAGGAUUGAGGCUUGUGUUGCUACCAGUUAAAAUAACUGAGUUGAUAAGCAACCCACUGACUGUUUCUCUGUGCAGAAACCGUUCAGGCGUCCACCAUAGUUUUCCCACUCUAUGUUUAAGCUAAAGUAUCAAAAAGACUUAAAGCACUGCUGUACAUAUUUGGGGAGGGCAGUGUAAGUUGGUACAGCCCACAUGAAAAGCAGAUUGUCAGUAUCUAUAAAAUUACAAAUGCUGCAUAUAUCUUGUGACCAAGCAGUUUCACUUCUAGGAAUUUAUCUUCAGAUGCACUCACUGGCACAUGAAAUAACUUAUGCACGAGUAUCCAUCGCAUCUUGUUUGUUAUAGCAAAAGACUGAAUACAAAUUAAAUGUUCAUCAGGAGGGGACUGGUUAAAUAAAUUAUGGUAUCUCUUUAAAAUGGGAUACUAUUCAGUUUAAAAAGAAAACAAAGAAUAAGGUAGCUCUUUAUAAUCCUGUUUGGAAUGAUACAUUGUCAAAUUAAAAAAAGCAAGGGGCAGACCAUUUAUAUAAAAUGGGAAUGGAGAGAAGUCAGGUCUUCCAUGGAGUGUUCCAGCGGUUGAAUUAAAGAACCCUGGGCUGCCCUGCCUCCAGACUCCUUGUGAUAGGUGACAAGAAAGGUCAGCUGAGAAGGAGUCUUCUGUGACUUGUAGCCAAAAGCAUACAGACACAAACCUGAGGUCUGCAGAGGUCUUUGUGUUUGGACCAGGAAUAAUGCAGAAGAGGGGGUUAAAUCUUUGACUUGCAGAAAUUCUCCAGUUGACUCCAUUUUAACUCCAGUGGGCAUCCCCAAGUGCUUCUUCCCUCUGGGUAUCCUGAGCUCUGUAUCUCAGAGCAGCCAGUCAUUCACGUGAUGCAGCUGUGGGGAUUUCUGUGCAGAGAUGCAAUCUGGCAGAAUUCAACUUGCCUUCUUUUAAAAUACAACCUCAUCAAAGCAAGAGCGCUAAAAGCCUGAUAGAAUCUAUUUGUAGUCAGGGGCACGAGGGCAAUACACCGGAUGCUAGAAUCAAACCUGGCCAUUCUCCGCCCACAGGAGGACCCAGAUAAUCCUGACCUGCCAUAGUGACUAUAGAGCUGAGAAGUCUCUGGAUCAAGCUUCAUGUGGUCUGAGAACUUGUCCACACGGCUGACACUGUCCUGUCAGUAUCUUCCAGACAGUUUUGAGGACUCACUGUCACUCACUUAUCUUUUCUUUCAAGAAAGUUAUUUGUCCCUGGCACUCUGCUAGGUACUGGAGAUACAACAGUGAGCAAAACUGGAGUGGCCUUGCCUGUAUUGACUUACAGUCUAAAGGAGGAGAUGGGAAUUAGUUGAAUAAUUAUCAAAUAGGUGUACAAUUACAACUGAGCUAAGUAUUGUAAAGGAAGCGUUCAUGGUGGAUAAGAGUGGUUAAGAAAGAUACCUAUAUUAGAAUGGGAUCCGAGAAGGCCUACCUGAGGAAAUGACACUUGAGCUGACAUCUGAAGAAUGAGUGAGAGUUAAUUAGGUGAUGUCGGAGAAAAGCAUUCCAGCAGAAGGAAUAGUUCCUGCAAAGGCUCUGGGGUUGGGCGUAGCAUAGAACACUCGAGGAAUUGGAAGAAGGCCAGUGUGGUUGGAGGGCAGAGAGUGAGGGGGUGUGCUGGGAGGCGAGGCUGAAGCCUGGAAAGGCAAAACCAAGAGACAUGUAAAGUAUUUUUGUAAGAGCGAUGGAAAGCCAUUUGUAGUACAGAGUGUUGGUUGUUCCCGAAUAUCCGUUUUCCCCUCUGUUCCUUUAGUAUUCGAGUCCCAGAGUUUUGGUUACCCAGUUAAAGACUAUUUUCCAGACUCAUUUGCAUACAGAUUUGCCCAUGUGACCAAGUUCUGACCAGUGGGUUGUGAGCAGAAGGACAGGCUUCCAUUUGCUCCUAUUUUCUUCUCACUGGCUGGUGUACAGACAUGAUGGUCCGGGCUGGAGGAGUCAUCCUAGACCAUGAGGUGGAAGCCAUAUGCCGAGGAUGGCAAAGCAACAAGAUAGAGGGAAACUGCCUCCGCAUCACCAUGGAGUAGCCCUAGCAGCCCCAGACUGUUAAACUCAGACUAUAUAUGACAAGGUAAUAAAUUUCUAACCUGUGUAAACUACAUUUUUUGGUCUUUAUCAUAGAAGUUACGCCUAUAUUCUUAGUGACUGUUACAGACUGAAUGUUUGUGCCCCCUCAAAGUUCAUAUCGUGAAAUCCUAACCCCCAGUGGUAUUAGGAGGUGGGACCUUUGGGAGGUGAUUAGGUCAUGAGGGUGGAGCUCUCAUGAAUGGGAUUAGUGUCUUUAUAAAAGAGGCUCCAGAGACUCUCUUGCCCCUUCUACCAUGUGAGGACACAGUGAGAAGACGGUCAUCUGUGAUCUAGGAAGGGGCCUUGCAGCAGACAUCGAAUCUGCCAGCACCUUGAUUUUGGACUUCCCAGCCUCCAGAACUGUGAGAAAUAAAUGUUUGUUA